Non-coding RNA from Camellia sinensis, 2788 nucleotides. Lineage: Eukaryota; Viridiplantae; Streptophyta; Magnoliopsida; Ericales; Theaceae. The record is from RefSeq and is a predicted model, not a curated record.
CAGGAAAUAGGGCGUACGACAACGCUUGUUUUAUGGCGAUUAGGAAAACGCCAUUAUAGAUUAAUGAUACACAACGUUUUGAAAACGUUGUCUCUGGAUCUUAGUUACACAGCACCGUUUUGGGUCCAUUAGUUCACACCGUUCAAAACUCCGUCCCUUUCAAACCGUCUCGCACUCUCACUCUCACUCUCACUCUCACUUAGUCUCACUCUUCCACAGCUCACUCUCUCUCUUCCAAAACUCAGAAACUCUCAAUUUGAAGCUCGAUUUCAAACAAACUCACUCUCUUGCUCAGAAACCCUCGCUCUCACUGAUUUGAAGCUCAGAAACCCUCGCUCUCACUGAUUUGAAGCUCUCACUCUCGCUCGAUUUCAAACAAACUCAAUCGAUUUCAAACACUCUUUGUCGUUCGAUUUCAGAACUUGUUGCAGAUUUUGGUCACUAGAUUGGCGCUUAUCUUCCGAUUUUGGUUCUCCUCUCUUUCGAUUUUAUCUCGCUCAGUCGGUCGCUUCUUUUUGUUGUAGAACUCAGAUCUGGCAUUGAGGGUUUUGGCAAGUAAAUGGGCUGGAUCCCUUUCUACCUUCGUAUUUGAGGUGAGAUUGGAGAGGUGAAUUUUGACCUUUGUUACCCUCAAUCUACUUCUCCCUGGUUUGACUUUUUCUUUUUUGAAUUGUUUUGACUUUGAUUGUUCAGUCCCUAAUAAAUAAAUUAUAAAAAAAAGUGUAUUUAUGUUUUGAUAUUCCCCCCAUUUUUUCCAAUUUGCAAUCUUGUUGUAAGAUUUCAAUUUUCCAAGCUUUGUUGAUAAUUUGUAGUUUUUUUCCCCUCUCAGUAGGCUAAAUGUUUUUAUUUAUACUUGGAUAAUUUUUAUAUCUUCUUUUAUGAUGUAUAUAUUUAUUUUUUACCCAAUUUUCUUAUGUAAUUUUUGAUUUCUAGUUCCUGUUUUAUAUUUUUAAUAAUUGAACUCUGGUUACCUUUUUUUGUCACUGUUUAUAAAUUUUUAUUGAUUCUUUUCUGAGUUUCGUAAAUGUGCAAUGAUUAUUGAUUAUCUGUACUUGAGAGAAUAUACCAUGAUCAUUCUGAUAGCAAUAUAUAAUUUGUUUUUUUUGUUGCUAUUUUUAUUGGUUCUGUGAAACACUUGUAAUUAUAAAAGCUCUUUUACACAAUCAUGAUUUGAGUAAUUCUAAUUGGAGGCCUGGGUCGAAGAUGAUGUCUUAAGUGGGUUAGUAAGAAAACAGAAUUAUUUGGCUUGUGCAAGUUUUGGUUCUGUCUACAAGCUCUCCUACAAUGCCGAAAUUUGUAGAAAUACCCAUCCCUCCUAUAUGAUCUCAAGAGCUCUAUCUGCUGAUGUUGCUAAAGUAACCAGUGAAGGUUUGCUUCUUAUGAUAUUCUUUUUACCUUUUCAAUCUAGUUAUAAUAAUCUUUUAGCACUAUGUUCACAUGUCUCUGGUUGAGUAUGAACGUAGAAUUACCGCAGGUGAACUUGUGGAUGGUGAUAGUUGUCAGGUAUGGCAAUCAAUGCACUCAUUCAUACUUGUUUUUAAGUUUUCAUAAGGAAAAGAGAGUAGUUUGUAAUGUGCCUUAAGCAUUGAUGAGGGUAACUGGAUGGGCAUACAACUUUAUCUGAAAGUUAUAAAUUGAUAAUAUUAUUCUGAAUUUUCUUAAAAUGAUUUAGCUUCUUAUAUUCAAUCAAAAGUUUACCUUUUUGAUGAUGUCUUGCAUUUGUUAGAAUCAGUUAUUGGGGGAGGAUAUACUGACAGAGAUUCUGCAGGUAGGCACCUUAAGAGAGCUUCAGAGACUCUAUGAUGAGCUUGUUGAUUCAGCUCACACCUGCUGGUUAGAUCGCUAUUCUGCUUCUAAGAAAGGCAGCAGGAGUAGGUGGUUAUUGUCCCAUUUCAUUCUUCAAUUGUCUUGCUCACCUAUGAAAGGACUUUAUCUCUAUGGAGGAGUAGGAACAGGAAAAAAUAUGCUGAUGGACUUAUUUUUUGAUCAAUUGCCUAGCAGCUGGAGGAAAAAGAGGAUUCAUUUUCAUGACUUCAUGUUGGAUGUUCACAGUCGCUUGCAAGGGGAUGAAUUACUUGCAUGAGAAUAGACCCGAAGCAAUAAUUCACCGUGAUCUUGAACCUUCGUAAGUUAUCUAGAUAAGCUAGUAAUUUUUUUUUCUCCUUUCUAUCCCAACCCCCUCUUCUUUUGUUUUGUUUUUUGUUACCAAUCUCUGCCUGUAUAUACAUGAAAAAAUGUUUUUUGUUACCAAUCUCUGCCUGUAUUUACUUUCCAUGUUUUCAUUAAAAAAGAAAAGAAAAGAAAGAAAGAAAGGAACACCAAUUUAGUUGAAGAAGACAUUAAAUCACAUGACCGGCAGAAAAACAUCUCAGUUGUUCGAGUAAAGGUAUAUAGUUUCUUUAUGUUUCAAAUUGAAAUUGUAUAUUUUGAUUUUGUUACUUGAUUUUAAUUGUAAUUGUAGGAAACAAAUAAAAAUAAUGGAGUUCCAACAAUCCAUGGAUGGGCAACUAGACACUGAAAUUGCAAUAGGAUGUCAUUGUGGUAUGAGCAUACUGGAGGAAGAGCUGAAAAACUGUUCCAAGAGCCUCAUACCUUGUUAUUUUUUUUUUUAUUUUCUUUGAUUUCUUGGUUCUUUGAUUUUUUGGUGAGAGCAGCUUCAAGAGUGGUAUAAGAUUGAAUUUCUAGUGAUUUUCUUUUGCCAAAUCACAGAUUGUACACACCAUUGCUCUUGUAUACAGGUAGUUAAAUUCUCAAACUUUCUUCUUAGUUAAAUUCUUUGGUCGUGUUA